This 79-nucleotide transfer RNA is filed under the name Lactococcus lactis. RNAcentral's name for it is "tRNA-Ser". It matches the Rfam family "tRNA". Rfam says of the family: Transfer RNA (tRNA) molecules are approximately 80 nucleotides in length. Their secondary structure includes four short double-helical elements and three loops (D, anti-codon, and T loops). Lineage: Bacteria; Bacillati; Bacillota; Bacilli; Lactobacillales; Streptococcaceae. The record is from RNAcentral.
GGGGAGUUACUUAAGAGGACGGUUUGCUAAAUCGUUAGGUCGAGAAAUCGUUGCGAGGGUUCGAAUCCCUUACUCCCCU